Molecule: microRNA precursor, 98 nt
Organism: Mesocricetus auratus (golden hamster)
Lineage: Eukaryota; Metazoa; Chordata; Mammalia; Rodentia; Cricetidae
Source: Ensembl
AGAGGCAGGUAGAUCUCUGUGAGUUCGAGGCCAGCCUGGUCUACCUACAUUGAGUUCCAGGACAACCAGGGCUACACAGAGAAACCCCGUCUCAAAAA